Molecule: ribosomal RNA, 493 nt
Filed under: uncultured bacterium
Lineage: Bacteria
Description: partial 16S ribosomal RNA
Rfam family: Bacterial small subunit ribosomal RNA
Source: RNAcentral
AACGCUGGCGGCGUGCCUAAUACAUGCAAGUCGAGCGAACGGACGAGCAGCUUGCUUCUCUGAUGUUAGCGGCGGACGGGUGAGUAACACGUGGAUAACCUACCUAUAAGACUGGGAUAACUUCGGGAAACCGGAGCUAAUACCGGAUAAUAUUUUGAACCGCAUGGUUCAAAAGUGAAAGACGGUCUUGCUGUCACUUAUAGAUGGAUCCGCGCUGCAUUAGCUAGUUGGUAAGGUAACGGCUUACCAAGGCAACGAUGCAUAGCCGACCUGAGAGGGUGAUCGGCCACACUGGAACUGAGACACGGUCCAGACUCCUACGGGAGGCAGCAGUAGGGAAUCUUCCGCAAUGGGCGAAAGCCUGACGGAGCAACGCCGCGUGAGUGAUGAAGGUCUUCGGAUCGUAAAACUCUGUUAUUAGGGAAGAACAUAUGUGUAAGUAACUGUGCACAUCUUGACGGUACCUAAUCAGAAAGCCACGGCUAACUACGUG